CCCACGAACCCACGCCCCCAGUCUGCCUCGCCUCCUCUCACCCAUGGCCGGCGCCACCACGCUCGUCCUCUCCCUCAUGGCCGCCGGCGCCGUUUCUCUUCGCGCCCAGCUUCUCACCUGGACGGCCCCCGACCCCGCGGCCGCCCCCGCCGUCCGGGCCGCCGUCUGGACGUCACUGUCGGACGCCGUCAUGGGCGACGGCGCCGACCAGCCACCCCGCCGCUGGAUCCUCCUUCCCCGGCCGGCCAUGGCGACCACCACGCGUACAAGUAGAAAAACCCUCAUGGUCCAAUGAGAUCCAGCGAGACAGGUUCGUCCCCAUCUAGCCCGGUCAGCUCUCGUACCCUGCAUCAACCAGAUCCCGUGGGCGUCGGGGUGACCUGCUCCGGCGAGGUUCCUCGAUCCCGCCCGCCACAAGCCCGUCCACGGGCAGCCGUGCUCGCCGUUGGUGGCUACGUGCAGCACGGGCACCACGGCGGGGCACCGCGCACCGUUGUCGCCGGAUCUGGCGACUCCAAGCCUGACCGCCAUUGGAUCUGAUCAUCGGCCUCCUGCAUCUUCAGUUUCAGAUAUUUGAUUGUUUGUGCAGAGGGCAUGUGUUACACUUUUCUGAAAGAGAACCAAGAGUGAAUCAAUUUCAGAAAUCAAGUUACAUCUAUGUACCUGUGUGUGUAGCUGAGUUGUGCAAGAUAUGUGAAAUUUAUAUUUCAAUCUGUAACUUGUUAUUUGAGUGAAAUAUGUAUUGAAAUAGUUGUUUCAAUAUAAAUUGAAAUUCUUUGUGCCA
Molecule: long non-coding RNA, 784 nt
Organism: Triticum dicoccoides
Lineage: Eukaryota; Viridiplantae; Streptophyta; Magnoliopsida; Poales; Poaceae
Exons: 2
Source: RefSeq, a predicted model, not a curated record